This 829-nucleotide ribosomal RNA is filed under the name uncultured bacterium. Its description in RNAcentral is "bacterial SSU rRNA". It matches the Rfam family "Bacterial small subunit ribosomal RNA", at positions 9 to 873 of the family's 1533-position model. The record is from RNAcentral.
AGAGUUUGAUCAUGGCUCAGGAUGAACGCUGGCGGUAUGCUUAACACAUGCAAGUCGAACGAAAGUCUUCGGAUUUUAGUGGCGGACGGGUGAGUAACGCGUGAGGAUCUGCCUAUAGGUUGGGGACAACAGAUGGAAACGUCUGCUAAUACCCAAUGUGCCGAGAGGUGAAAGCUUUAGUGCCUGUAGAUGAGCUCGCGUCCGAUUAGCUAGUUGGUAGGGUAAAGGCUUACCAAGGCGACGAUCGGUAGCUGGUCUGAGAGGAUGAUCAGCCACACUGGGACUGAGACACGGCCCAGACUCCUACGGGAGGCAGCAGUGGGGAAUUUUCCGCAAUGGGCGAAAGCCUGACGGAGCAAUACCGCGUGCGGGACGAAGGCUUUUGGGUCGUAAACCGCUUUUGUUAGGGAAGAACACAAUGACGGUACCUAACGAAUCAGCAUCGGCUAACUCCGUGCCAGCAGCCGCGGUAAUACGGGGGAUGCAAGCGUUAUCCGGAAUUAUUGGGCGUAAAGCGUCCGCAGGUGGUUUAUCAAGUCUGCUGUCAAAUCGUAGGGCUUAACCCUAUAAAGGCAGUGGAAACUGAGAGACUAGAGUACGGUAGGGGUAGCGGGAAUUCCCAGUGUAGCGGUGAAAUGCGUAGAUAUUGGGAAGAACACCAGCGGCGAAGGCGCGCUACUGGGCCGAAACUGACACUCAUGGACGAAAGCUAGGGGAGCGAACAGGAUUAGAUACCCUGGUAGUCCAUGCCGUAAACGUUGGGAACUAGAUGUAGGGGCCAUUCCACGGUUUCUGUGUCGCAGCUAACCGCAUUAAGUUCCCCGCCUGG